This 60-nucleotide transfer RNA is filed under the name Centruroides vittatus. RNAcentral describes it as "tRNA-Pro". The record is from RNAcentral. Lineage: Eukaryota; Metazoa; Arthropoda; Arachnida; Scorpiones; Buthidae.
ACAGAAAAUAGUUUAAUAAAAACAUUAAUUUUGGAUAUUAAAAAUAGACACCUUUUUCUG